CUCAGUAACUCUUAUUUUAUUUGAUGUAUUAGGAUUAUAACUAUGUUAAAUUAUAGAUAACAAUAAUACAAUAAGAAUAAGAUCUAUCAGUUAGUUGUUAAGGUAAUGGCUUAACAAGACUAUGACGGAUAACGGUAUUACUUUGUAAUAUUCCGGAGAAGGAGCCUGAGAGAUUGCUACUAAGUCUAAGGAUUGCAGCAGGGGCGAAACUUGACCUAUGAUAUGAUAUUGAGGCAGUUAUGAGUAGUAUUUUUAAUUAUUG
This 262-nucleotide ribosomal RNA is filed under the name Nosema granulosis. RNAcentral's name for it is "partial small subunit ribosomal RNA". It matches the Rfam family "Microsporidia small subunit ribosomal RNA", at positions 87 to 333 of the family's 1311-position model. Lineage: Eukaryota; Fungi; Microsporidia; Nosematidae. The record is from RNAcentral.